Molecule: ribosomal RNA, 296 nt
Filed under: Escherichia coli
Lineage: Bacteria; Pseudomonadati; Pseudomonadota; Gammaproteobacteria; Enterobacterales; Enterobacteriaceae
Description: partial 23S ribosomal RNA
Rfam family: Bacterial large subunit ribosomal RNA
Source: RNAcentral
GGGUUGUGAGGUUAAGCGACUAAGCGUACACGGUGGAUGCCCUGGCAGUCAGAGGCGAUGAAGGACGUGCUAAUCUGCGAUAAGCGUCGGUGAGGUGAUAUGAACCGUUAUAACCGGCGAUUUCCGAAUGGGGAAACCCAGUGUGUUUCGACACACUAUCAUUAACUGAAUCCAUAGGUUAAUGAGGCGAACCGGGGGAACUGAAACAUCUAAGUACCCCGAGGAAAAGAAAUCAACCGAGAUUCCCCCAGUAGCGGCGAGCGAACGGGGAGGAGCCCAGAGCCUGAAUCAGUGUG